RNAcentral lists this ribosomal RNA (497 nucleotides) under uncultured bacterium. RNAcentral's name for it is "partial 16S ribosomal RNA". It matches the Rfam family "Bacterial small subunit ribosomal RNA", at positions 28 to 507 of the family's 1533-position model. The record is from RNAcentral.
GAUGAACGCUGGCGGCGUGCCUAAUACAUGCGAGUCGAGCGAACAGACGAGGAGCUUGCUCCUCUGACGUUAGCGGCGGACGGGUGAGUAACACGUGGAUAACCUACCUAUAAGACUGGGAUAACUUCGGGAAACCGGAGCUAAUACCGGAUAAUAUAUUGAACCGCAUGGUUCAAUAGUGAAAGACGGUUUUGCUGUCACUUAUAGAUGGAUCCGCGCCGCAUUAGCUAGUUGGUAAGGUAACGGCUUACCAAGGCAACGAUGCGUAGCCGACCUGAGAGGGUGAUCGGCCACACUGGAACUGAGACACGGUCCAGACUCCUACGGGAGGCAGCAGUAGGGAAUCUUCCGCCCUGGGCGCACGCUUGCCGGAGCACCGCCGCGUGAGUGAUGAAGGUCUUCGGAUCGUAAAACUCUGUUAUUAGGGAAGAACAAAUGUGUAAGUAACUAUGCCCGUCUUGACGGUACCUCAUCAGAAAGCCACGGCUCACUACGUG